This 246-nucleotide ribosomal RNA is filed under the name uncultured Flavobacterium sp. Its description in RNAcentral is "partial 16S ribosomal RNA". It matches the Rfam family "Bacterial small subunit ribosomal RNA", at positions 1 to 255 of the family's 1533-position model. The record is from RNAcentral. Lineage: Bacteria; Pseudomonadati; Bacteroidota; Flavobacteriia; Flavobacteriales; Flavobacteriaceae.
UGACGAGUUUGAUCCUGGCUCAGGAUGAACGCUAGCGGCAGGCUUAACACAUGCAAGUCGAGGGGUAUAGUUCUUCGGAACUAGAGACCGGCGCACGGGUGCGUAACGCGUAUGCAAUCUACCUUUUACAGAGGGAUAGCCCAGAGAAAUUUGGAUUAAUACCUCAUAGUAUGUGAGAAUCGCAUGGUUUUCACAUUAAAGUUCCAACGGUAAAGAUGAGCAUGCGUCCCAUUAGCUAGAUGGUAA